GGCCUUCCCAACAAGCAGGCCAUGGCGCAAGAUGCUGCCAGCAAGAAGGGCCACUGGACUCCCUCAAGACCCUUCUGAGACAAGACACAGAUGUCAGUGUAGAAGAAUUGCACCAACACUGAAUGGAUUUAUAAAACAUUGAAAUAAGAACAGAGAGUAGUUCGGAUCCAGUUUGACUUUUUUUGUACAUGUCCCAUCUAACUCCAGCCCCUGGAAGUCUGGUCUGGGAUGGGAUGUAAGUUUCAUCUCCAUAAUCUGUCUAACUGAGGCUCUGAGCCUGAUUUUCUUCCCUGUGACCUUUAUCUACGCGCAAUAUCAGCGUCAUCCUCCCCGUGGUGAUGGGGGCAGAGAAGCAGAAGGGCACCGUGGUGUCAGUGCCAAACUUGAAACAGAAUUCUCAUCUCAGGAUGUUCAUGAAGAGAAGGCUACUCAUGGCCGGCGUCAAUUUCCUGAUGUGUCAUGGAGUCUCGCUAUUGGCUUUGCCAUUUGCUGGUCAAUGUGGUUUGUAGGCAGAGCCAAUGAAAUGGAUCCAGAAAUGGAAUGUAACAUCUGUGACCAGUUCAAACCUUUCAACAUGAUGAUCUGUUUAUCAGAAACCAAAGCUGCUAAAAAGAAAGUACAAAAAAGAAGGGAAAAAAUCUAAAAAGCCAACUAUUCAUUAUAAGUUUGAAAACAACCUGUGUGUGGGCAUGACUCUGUGUGUGUGUGUGUGUGUGUGCGUGUGUGUAGACCACAUGUUAAAAAACAAAUUAGAAUGUGGUGCAUGUUGAUUGGGGGUGACGAAUCUUCCAGGUUUACCCAGGAUUCGGGUAGUUUCCUAAAACAUGGGACUUCCAGUGCUGAACAAGGACACUCUUGGAUGAAUCAGGCUGGCUGGUCAAAAUAAUGCAUCCUUAGACAUAGAGAUCUUGUAGCUUGUGGUCUGAAAUUUAGUGUUGCCAAACAUCACAGGAAGUUGCAAACUGUUGGACCGUAGAUUCAGCCAAUAUGGUGUCUG
This 997-nucleotide long non-coding RNA is filed under the name Ursus maritimus (polar bear). RNAcentral's name for it is "lncRNA (ENSUMAG00000024400.1)". The record is from RNAcentral. Lineage: Eukaryota; Metazoa; Chordata; Mammalia; Carnivora; Ursidae.